CAGGAUCUUAUGGGGGCGGCCCGGGAUCCUCUGGAGGAUCGGGAUCCUACGGGAUCAGCUCGGGAUCCUAUGGGGGCAGCUCGGGAUCCUCUGGAGGAUCGGGAUCCUACGGGAUCAACUCAGGAUCCUACGGGGGUAGCUCGGGAUCCUACGGGGGAUCGGGAUCCUACGGGGGAUCGGGAGCAUUCCCAGGACGAGGGAGCGGAUCGGGAUCCUACGUGUCCCCAGGAUCGAGCGGAGGCAAGCCGGGAUCCUAUGGCAGCAGGCCAGGAUCCCCCGGGGACGGCUCGGGAUCGUUUGUCUCACCGGGAUCCGGUGGGCCGCCGGGAUCCUACGGACUGGUGCCCUACGGGAGUGGAUUCGGAUCGGGGAGCUACGGCCCGCAAGGGGGAAGCGGAUCGGGAUCCUAUGGGGGAUCCAGUUCAGGAGCCUAUGGAAGCGGCUCAGGAUCAGGCAGACCGGGAUCCCAAGGGGGAUUUGGAUCUGGAUCGGGAUCGGGCAGACCGGGAUCCCAAGGGGGAUUUGGAUCCGGAUCAGGAUCAGGAUCAGGAUCAGGCAGACCUGGAUCCCAAGGGGGAAGUGGAUCGGGAUCAGGCAGACCUGGAUCCCAUGGGGGAAGCGGAUCGGGAUCGGGCAGACCUGGAUCCCAGGGGGGCAGCGGGUCCCAAGGAGGCAGCGGAUCGGGAUCCUAUGGGGGCAGCUCAGGAUCCUACGGGGGCAGCUCAGGAUCCUACGGAGGCAGCUCAGGAUCCUACGGGCUCCCUGAGUCCUACGGGGAUGAUUCGGGUUUCUACGGGGGAUCAGGAUCCUACGGGGGGGAUUCGGGGUCCUACGGGGGUGGAUCAGGGUCCUAUGGGGGCGGAUCAGGAUCUUAUGGGGGUGGAUCGGGAUCCCAUGGGAGACCAGGAUCCUAUGGGAGACCGGGAUCCUACGGGGGUGGAUCGGGAUCUUAUGGGGGAGCAGGACCUUAUGGGGGUGGAUCAGGCUCCUAUGGAGGAUCAGGAUCCUACGGGGGUGGAUCAGGAUCCUAUGGGGGGUCGGGAUCUUAUGGGGGAGCGGGAUCUUAUGGGGGAUUGGGCUCCUACGGGGGGUCGGGGUCCCAGGGGGGCUCCCAGCGCCCCGUGUACAAGAACCCCGGGAUCCCCUUCGUGCCGGGGCUGCGGGAUCCGGCCCGGAUCGGGGGCUACAUCCCCGUGCGCCGCGGCCCCACCACGGGAUCGGGAUCCACUCACGGCUCCGGCGCGGGAUCCAGCUCGGGGACGGCGACCGGGACCUACGGCUCGGGAUCCCAAGGGGGAUCCCAAGGGGGAUCCCAAGGGGGAUCCGGGGGAGGAUCCGGGGGGGGAUCUGGGGCGGGAUCCGGGACGGGAUCUGACCAAGCCCAGUCCGGCUGCGGGGGCUGUGAUGAGUAGGGGGCACCCGGAGCCCCCCCAGUCCCGCUCACGCACCCCAAUAAAGUCCUUGCAGCUCGGCACCGGCCUCGUCCUUGUCCCCACGCGUGUCCCCAUGGCCACACGUGUCCCCAACGUGUCCCCACACGUGUCCCCAACGUGUCCCCACACGUGUCCCCUACAUGUCCCCACGUGUCCCCGCACGUCCUGGCACCGGCUGAGCUGGCGGGGCUGGUCCGCACCCACGCCCGGGGACAGGGACGUCAGGGACGGGACGGGGACGCCCACGGGGACGGGAAUGGGGUCAUCGGGGUGGGACAUCAGGGAUGGGACGGGGACGCCAACUGGGGCAGGAAUGGGGACACCGGGGUGGGACACUGGGGACGGGAUGGGGAUGCCAACUAGGACAGGAAUGGGGACACCAGGAUGGGGACACCCACAGGGACAGGAAUGGGGACAUGGGGAUGGGGACUUCGGGGACAGGACGGGGACUUUGGGGCCAUAAAGGGGACACCCGCAAGGACAGGGAUGGGGACACCUGGGACCAGUAUGGUCCCAUAGGGGCCAGCCUGAGCCCUACACGGAGGAGUGUGAGCCCUAAAGGCACCGGUAUGGCCCCACAGACACCAGUAUGAACCCUAAAAGACCAUUAAGCCCCCAAAGGGACUGGUGGGAGCACUAUAGGGACCAGUAAGACCCCAUAGGAACCAGUAGAAGCCCCAUAGGCACCAGUAGGAGACCUAUAGGAACCAGUAUGGCCCUACAGAGACCAGUGGAAGCCCUACAGAGACAAGUACAAUGCCAUGGAGACCAGUAGGAGCCCUAUAGGAACCAGUAUGGCCCUAUGGGGACCAGUAGGAGCCCUACAGAGACAAGUGCAGCCCCAUAGGGACCAGUAGAAGCCCGAAAUGCACCAGUAGGAGCCCUAUAGGGACCAG
Molecule: long non-coding RNA, 2329 nt
Organism: Anser cygnoides (Swan goose)
Lineage: Eukaryota; Metazoa; Chordata; Aves; Anseriformes; Anatidae
Source: Ensembl